ACUCCUACGGGAGGCAGCAGUGGGGAAUAUUGCACAAUGGGGGAAACCCUGAUGCAGCCAUGCCGCGUGUGUGAAGAAGGCCUUCGGUUGUAAGCACUUCAGUUGUGAGGAAGGUGGUGUCGUUAAUAGCGGCAUCAUUUGACGUUAGCAACAGAAGAAGCACCGGCUAACUCCGUGCCAGCAGCCGCGGUAAUACGGAGGGUGCGAGCGUUAAUCGGAAUUACUGGGCGUAAAGCGCAUGCAGGUGGUUUGUUAAGUCAGAUGUGAAAGCCCGGGGCUCAACCUCGGAACUGCAUUUGAAACUGGCAGACUAGAGUACUGUAGAGGGGGGUAGAAUUUCAGGUGUAGCGGUGAAAUGCGUAGAGAUCUGAAGGAAUACCGGUGGCGAAGGCGGCCCCCUGGACAGAUACUGACACUCAGAUGCGAAAGCGUGGGGAGCAAACA
Molecule: ribosomal RNA, 444 nt
Filed under: uncultured bacterium
Lineage: Bacteria
Description: bacterial SSU rRNA
Rfam family: Bacterial small subunit ribosomal RNA
Source: RNAcentral